This 497-nucleotide ribosomal RNA is filed under the name uncultured bacterium. RNAcentral describes it as "partial 16S ribosomal RNA". It matches the Rfam family "Bacterial small subunit ribosomal RNA", at positions 38 to 507 of the family's 1533-position model. The record is from RNAcentral.
GGGGGGGGGGGGGGGGGGGCGGGGGAGGGGGGGGGCGGGGGGGCGGGCGGGGGGGUUGCGUCUCUGAUGUUAGCGGCGGGCGGGUGGGUAACACGUGGGUGACCGCCCUAGAAGACUGGGAUAACUUCGGGAAACCGGGGCUCAUACCGGAUAAUAUUGUGAACCGCAUGGUUCAAAAGUGAACGACGGUCUUGCUGUCACUUAUAGAUGGAUCCGCGCUGCAUUAGCUAGUUGGUAAGGUAACGGCUUACCAAGGCAACGAUGCAUAGCCGACCUGAGAGGGUGAUCGGCCACACUGGAACUGAGACACGGUCCAGACUCCUACGGGAGGCAGCAGUAGGGAAUCUUCCGCAAUGGGCGAAAGCCUGACGGAGCAACGCCGCGUGAGUGAUGAAGGUCUUCGGAUCGUAAAACUCUGUUAUUAGGGAAGAACAUAUGUGUAAGUAACUGUGCACAUCUUGACGGUACCUAAUCAGAAAGCCACGGCUAACUACGUG